Molecule: ribosomal RNA, 407 nt
Filed under: uncultured bacterium
Lineage: Bacteria
Description: partial 16S ribosomal RNA
Rfam family: Bacterial small subunit ribosomal RNA
Source: RNAcentral
AUUGAACGCUGGCGGCAGGCCUAACACAUGCAAGUCGAGCGGAGUGGCGGACGGGAGAGUAAUGCCUAGGAAUCUGCCUGGUAGUGGGGGGAAAGGUCCGGAAACGGGAGCUAAUACCGUAUACUUUCAGACGAGCCGAGGUCGGAUUAGCUAGUUGGUGGGGUAAAGGCCUACCAAGGCGACGAUCCGUAACUGGUAUGAGAGGAUGAUCAGUCACACUGGACCUGAGACACGGUCCACACUCCUACGGGAGGCAGCAGUGGGGAAUAUUGGACAAUGGGCGAAAGCCUGAUCCAGCCAUGCCGCGUGGGUGAAGAAGGUCUUCGGAUUGUAAAGCACUUUAAGUUGGGAAGCGUUACCAACAGAAUAAGCGCCGGCUAACAUCGUGCCAGCAGCCGCGGUAAUUC